CAGCAGCCGCGGUAAUACGGAGGGGGCUAGCGUUGUUCGGAAUGACUGGGCGUAAAGGGCGCGUAGGCGGAUUGUUUAGUUAGGCGUGAAAUUCCUGGGCUUAACCUGGGGACUGCGCUUAAUACAGGCAGUCUAGAGUGAGGAAGAGGGUUGUGGAAUUCCCAAUGUAGAGGUGAAAUUCGUAGAUAUUGGGAAGAACACCGGUGGCGAAGGCGGCAACCUGGUCCUUGACUGACGCUGAGGCGCGAAAGCAUGGGGAGCAAACAGGAUUAGAUACCCCCGUAGUCCCUGUCUCUUAUAA
This 301-nucleotide ribosomal RNA is filed under the name uncultured bacterium. RNAcentral describes it as "partial 16S ribosomal RNA". It matches the Rfam family "Bacterial small subunit ribosomal RNA", at positions 509 to 809 of the family's 1533-position model. The record is from RNAcentral.